AGACUUGAUCAAACCCUUCCUGAAGCUUACUGGAGAAGAAAGAUUCAACUGACAAGCCUGUGAGUCCUAAAAGAAGAAAUGCAGAUUGCUAAGGCAUCAAGGAUUGGGGACUUCACUGAAUCUUGGGGGGUCAAGAAGGGGUCCCCAGAAAGGUGAUGCUCUUGCAGAGACUUGAUGCACAUAAAAGGAGCUUGGGACUUUGGAAGUGGUUUUAAACAUCAGUUCUUGCUCCCUCUGCCUGGGAUCGUUUCCUCACCAAUACCUGCUGGCUUUGAAUGGGUUUAAGAAACUCCCUCCCCCUUUAGGGAACUUAUGCAGCUGAAGAGAAAUGGAUGCUGGGAACUGCUUCCAGGGACCUGGAAAUUGAUGAAGACACACACAAGGGCUGCACCUGUGGCCGAUGGAGGUUCCCAGGAUAGGGGCCAAAUCGGAGCUAUAGCUGCCUGGCCUACACAACAGCUACGGCAAUGCCAGAUUCUUAACCCGCUGAUCCAGGCAAGGGAUUGAACCUGAGUCCUCAUGGAUACUAGCAAGGUUCAUUAUCACUGAGCGAGAACUUUGCUUUUCCCUUUUAAAUGUAAUAGUUCGCAUCUACUACCCCCAAACGUCCAGGCUAUCCCACUGUCUCUCCCAAUCCCUUUGGCAACCUCAAGUCUUUUCUCCAUGUUGGUGACUCUGUUUCUGUUCUGUUGAUAGGCACACUUGUGCCACAUUUUAGAUUCUACAUAUAGGUGAUAUCAUACAGUGUUUGUCUUUCUGUGACUCUAGGGUUUGAGGAGAGGUCUGGGGUAGAUCAACAUGUAAGAAUCUCUGACCUGUGCACCGUAUUUAAAGCCCUGGGUAAGAUCACUAUGGAAGUGAGUCUAGAUGGAUGAGAGAAGCAGCCAGAGGCCUCAGCUGUCCUGCCUCUCAAAGUGGUGCAAGAGGAACCCAUUACACCUGAAGAAAUCAAAUCUGGGGGAGUCAAGCAAUUGGCUUCACAGUGAGCAGCAGAGAUGGGAAUCUAAGCUCAUUGGUCUGGCUCUGAAGUCUGCGUGAUUAACCCCUUAGCAAUAGUCCAAAGGCUGGAGCAAAGAAGUCUUUUCCUGGAGACAUGAAUCAUGGCUGGUUGGCCAGGGCCACACCUCUAACUAUGCUGGGAUAGCAAGCUGUGCCCUCAGGUUUGAGCAAAUAAGACACCUCACUUUUGCUGGUAAAACCAGACGACACAUCCAUCAGCUCCACCUGGUGUAGUACUCAAGGCCCUCGAGGGAGCCAGAAAGAUCUGGUAAUUAAGAAAGAUUCCUUUCCUGAGCUGCAGUGGGUCACAGUGACUGUCAGGGUUAAAAGAUUGAUGGCUUAAUAAAGACCACCUGAAAAGGCAAUUGACCAGCAAGGGAAAAAAAGCAUUGCCACACACCCACUACCGCAGAGUCUCCAUUCAGAGACCCUCCAGCAUAGCAAAGCUGCUUGGAACACUCUGCACCACACAGCACUUGGCCCCAUUUUAUAGCUGCGAACCAUCUUCAGCCACCACAGGAUGCCUCCCUUUAUUCUCUGCAGUGAUAAACGGGACUAUCUUCCUGGUUCCUUGACUGGAGAUGCAGAGGCUACAAGACGUGUCCCUUGCUCUCAGGAGUUCACCGUGUCAUGGGACCAUGAUGAUGUUCAAGAUUCUCAAUAAGCCUAGGAUAUCCUUCUGCAAAACUGCAUUUCUCUAGUGGCCUGGAGAACAAGAGCCCAGAGUGUAAUAGAUGCUUGACAAAUUAUCCAGGGGACUGUGUGUGGAGUCAUAGAGAAAGGGCCCAGAUCUGAGAAUUACGACCAGCCCUGCAGCUCCUCCUCUGCUAAAAAACUAGCUUCUUGACUUCAGAUAAGUCAUUCUUCUUGAAUCUUAGUUUGCCCAUCUGUCAAAAAAGGGGGUUAGAGUAAAUGAUCUUUGGAGAUCUUUGAGAUCUAGGACUGGGAUUUGAAAGGUUUGAAAACCCCAGUAAAAACUCUGUCCUAAAAUCCUGUUAAAUCCCCAAAGGUGUCUUUCACAGGACAGGCAUCCUAGAGGGUUUGAGAGGAGGGAGCAGCUGCAUGUCUCCUGCGUGCCAUCGGCCCUUCUCUUUGUCAAGCCAUCCCUUCCCCAGUACUCCUCAGAUCCCAGCUCCUCAGGGGUUCAGGCUGAUGGGAAACUUGGCUGGACAGGUUGUCAUAGGACCUCCCAGCAGUGGCAAAAUGGAAACUCUGUGUGUUACCCUUGCCUCUUCCAGUGUCUGCCAGCAUCAGUGCCUGUGUGGGUUGGGUAGAGCUUCCUCAUGCCUGGGGCCAAGUGGCACUGCAACUGUGAAUUCAGGCAGAUUAAGGCAGAUGGAGAAGAGGAAAGGUACUCUUUUCAUUAUAUACAUCCUGAAAGAGAACUUGCUAUAUAUGCAAGGAGGAAGUUGCUGUCUGGUACUCCUCAUGAGGUGUUUUCCUAAGGCAGACCUUCUCUUGGGACUGCUCCCUCCGUCCGUGUUGCCAGCACAUCAGUUCUAGCCUGGCUUUUUUUCUCAGCAGGAUGAUUAUGAAGCCUCCAGUGAGAAUCUGUCUCCAAUCUCCUUUCAAUCCAUUUUUUUUUUUUUUUAAAUUAAGGAACUGGAGUUAUCCAUUUAAAGAAAAACAAAAGAAAGUUCCCAUUGUGGCUCAGCAGGCUAAGGGCCCGAAAUAGGCUCUGUGACAGUGUGGGUUUGAUCCCUGGCCUCGCUCAGUGGGUUCAGGAUCCGGCACUGGUUUCGAGCUGUGGCGUUAAGUCACAUAUGCAGCUCUGAUCUGGUGUUGCUGUGGCUGCGGUGUAGGCCAGCAGCUGCAGCUUGGAUUCCACCCCUAGCCUGGAAACUUCCUUAUGCUGCCGGUGUGGCUGUGAAAAGAAAAAAA
Molecule: long non-coding RNA, 2880 nt
Filed under: Sus scrofa (pig)
Lineage: Eukaryota; Metazoa; Chordata; Mammalia; Artiodactyla; Suidae
Description: lncRNA (ENSSSCG00005004157.1)
Source: RNAcentral